UCCGGUUUGGCACCGGCAGUCUCCCUAGAGUUCCCGGCAUGACCCGCUGGCAACUAAGGACAGGGGUUGCGCUCGUUGCGCCACUUAAGGCAACACCUCACGGCACGAGCUGACGACAGCCAUGCACCACCUGUGCAGGCUCCGAAGAGCGCCCGCUUUCACGGGUUUCACCCUGCAUGUCAAGCCCAGGUAAGGUUCUUCGCGUUGCAUCGAAUUAAGCCGCAUGCUCCGCCGCUUGUGCGGGCCCCCGUCAAUUCUUUUGAGUUUUAGCCUUGCGGCCGUACUCCCCAGGCGGAACACUUAACGCGUUGGCUGCGGCACAGAGGGAUUCGACUCCCCCCACACCUAGCAUCCACAGUUUAGGGCGUGGACUAC
This 375-nucleotide unclassified non-coding RNA is filed under the name uncultured Actinomycetes bacterium. Its description in RNAcentral is "uncultured actinobacterium contains 16S-23S intergenic spacer region". The record is from RNAcentral. Lineage: Bacteria; Bacillati; Actinomycetota; Actinomycetes.